RNAcentral lists this ribosomal RNA (375 nucleotides) under uncultured organism. Its description in RNAcentral is "partial 16S ribosomal RNA". It matches the Rfam family "Bacterial small subunit ribosomal RNA", at positions 527 to 896 of the family's 1533-position model. The record is from RNAcentral.
GUAGGUGGCAAGCGUUGUCCGGAAUUAUUGGGCGUAAAGCGCGCGCAGGCGGUUCUUUAAGUCUGAUGUGAAAGCCCACGGCUCAACCGUGGAGGGUCAUUGGAAACUGGAGAACUUGAGUACAGAAGAGGAAAGCGGAAUUCCACGUGUAGCGGUGAAAUGCGUAGAGAUGUGGAGGAACACCAGUGGCGAAGGCGGCUUUCUGGUCUGUAACUGACGCUGAGGCGCGAAAGCGUGGGGAGCGAACAGGGAUUAGAUACCCUGGUAGUCCACGCCGUAAACGAUGAGUGCUAAGUGGUUAGGGGGUUUCCCGCCCCCUUAGUGCUGCAGCUAACGCAUUAAGCACUCCGCCGUGGGAGUACGGCCGCAAGGCUG